RNAcentral lists this ribosomal RNA (253 nucleotides) under uncultured bacterium. RNAcentral describes it as "partial 16S ribosomal RNA". It matches the Rfam family "Bacterial small subunit ribosomal RNA", at positions 524 to 776 of the family's 1533-position model. The record is from RNAcentral.
UACGUAGGGCGCGAGCGUUGUCCGGAAUUAUUGGGCGUAAAGAGCUCGUAGGCGGCCUGUCGCGUCCGCUGUGAAAUCCCGGGGCUCAACCCCGGGCGUGCAGUGGAUACGGGCUGGCUGGAGGCAGGCAGGGGAGAACGGAAUUCCUGGUGUAGUGGUGAAAUGCGUAGAGAUCAGUGGGAACACCGGUGGCGAAGGCGGCCUACUGGGCCAGCACUGACGCUGAGGCGCGAAAGCUCGGGGAGCGAACGGG